Small nuclear RNA from Argiope bruennichi, 105 nucleotides. The record is from RefSeq and is a predicted model, not a curated record. Lineage: Eukaryota; Metazoa; Arthropoda; Arachnida; Araneae; Araneidae.
GUUCGCUUCGGCAGUACAUAUGCUAAAAUUGGAACGAUACAGAAAAGAUGAGAAUAGCUCCUGCGAACGGAUGAUCCUGGUUGGUACGACGUUAGAUUCGCGUCA